RNAcentral lists this ribosomal RNA (449 nucleotides) under uncultured bacterium. Its description in RNAcentral is "partial 16S ribosomal RNA". It matches the Rfam family "Bacterial small subunit ribosomal RNA", at positions 338 to 795 of the family's 1533-position model. The record is from RNAcentral.
CCUACGGGUGGCUGCAGUGGGGAAUAUUGGACAAUGGGCGCAAGCCUGAUCCAGCAAUACCGCGUGUGUGAAGAAGGCCUGAGGGUUGUAAAGCACUUUUAAUCGGGAGGAAUAGCGGUCGGUUAAUACCCGGUCGUCUGACAUUACCGAUAGAAAAAGCACCGGCUAACUCCGUGCCAGCAGCCGCGGUAAUACGGAGGGUGCAAGCGUUGAUCGGAGUGACUGGACGUAGAUGGUUCGGUCGCGUGUGAAAGCCCCGGGCUUAACCUGGGAACGGCAUUUGAAACUGAUCGACUAGAGUUGGGUAGAGGGGAGUGGAAUUUCAGGUGUAGCGGUGAAAUGCGUAGAUAUCUGAAGGAACACCAGUGGCGAAGGCGGCUCCCUGGACCCAAACUGACGCUGAGGCACGAAAGCGUGGGUAGCAAACAGGAUUAGAUACCCCUGUAGUC